AAAUUUAAACUAUAUAUUAGUAAGAUUGUUAUUUACAUCAUAUUGUGCUAAAAGAAAAAGAAAAAGAAGUAGGUGCAGACAAUAAAAACAAUGGUCAAAAUUAGCAAUACCCAACAUUAUUUUUCGAGUGGACGAUCCACUCCAACGAUUCAGAUUUUGAAACACUGGCUACUAUCAUUCAUGUGUCAUUAUGAAACUCAUGAUUUAUUGCCACCAUAUCGUUCCUCCAAAUUUAAUUUUGAAUUCCCUUGAUGACUGGCUACUAUUAUUUAUGUCAUUAUGAAACUCAUGAUUUAUCGCCACCAUAUUGUCCAUCCAUAUUUAAUUUUAUCUCUGAAUUCUAAUACCCUAGACGACACUAUCCCAGUACACUGAGGUCUCACCAGAUGGCAUGAGGGAAUAUUUCAACUAUAAUUUUUGUGAAUCAAUUUACAAGGGAAGAAAAUGAUUUUGACGAAUCAAUUUACAAGGGAAGAAGAUGAUUUUGACGUUUAAUUGAUUUGGAAUUUCAAUUUAAUUAGUACAAUAAAGAAAUUGAAGGGCCUUGAGGUCAAUUUAGUGACCAUUUUUUAACCUUCAAAACUCAAGAUGAUAUUAUGAAAAUUUCUAAAGAAUCAGAUGUAAACAAUAUGC
Molecule: long non-coding RNA, 633 nt
Filed under: Amborella trichopoda
Lineage: Eukaryota; Viridiplantae; Streptophyta; Magnoliopsida; Amborellales; Amborellaceae
Description: long non-coding RNA (ATRI_LNC001908)
Source: RNAcentral